GCCGAGGUGGCGGAAUAGGCAGACGCGCUAGGUUGAGGGCCUAGUCCCCGAUUGAGGGGGUAAGGGUUCAAAUCCCUUCCUCGGCA
RNAcentral lists this transfer RNA (86 nucleotides) under Chloroflexota bacterium. Its description in RNAcentral is "tRNA-Leu". It matches the Rfam family "tRNA". Rfam says of the family: Transfer RNA (tRNA) molecules are approximately 80 nucleotides in length. Lineage: Bacteria; Bacillati; Chloroflexota. The record is from RNAcentral.